AUCAUAAUUCAUUAUGCUUGUUAUCUAAUUGGCCUGCUGAGCACAAUGUGCUGUUCAGGUGCUGCAACUGCAGCAUCUAUGGGUCGAAAAUAAUAAUAUUCUUCACUUAUUUACUUCUCCUGUACUUUAAUAAUAUUGCCUAACCCAAACUAACACAGUUCUACCCUCUCUCCACAUGUCUCUGGACCUGAGACCCAGAACUCUGCCUCCUUUUAUGACCCUCUCUUCCUAAUGGUUGACGGAUAGCCUAUGAUGAGUCAUGGUUCACCUGCAGUGAAGCAAAUAUGUCUACUCAAGUGACUCUGUAUCCAGAAGGGACUCUGUAUGCAGAAGCAUACACCAGCACUCUUCAAAGCCAGAGCAAGAUCACUUCAGCACCCAGAGUUACCUUGUCGGCUAUCUAAAAGAAUGGAAUGUUGGUUUUCAGCAGCAUGUAUCUUAAACCAGUUCAAUUCAUUCUGAAUACUCAAGCUAUGUAUUCUGGAUUCAGUUAAUUAUACAAUUGCUUAGGUGGUUGCUAGGGUGUGCCGUCAGCUUGUGCCAUGCUAGUCAUUGUCUAACUUGGCUCAAGCCAAGGGAAGAAAAAAAAAAGAAAAAAAAAAAAGAAAAGAAAAAAAAUAGGAUUACUUAGCAAAUCGCACAUAGUUAUUCAGGUCACUAGAUAAACCCUAGUGGGAACACAUUUUUAAACACACGCUACAGACUCUCUCUCACGUGACUGAAAUCCACCUCACUGCAGCCCACUUGUCUGGUGGUCAGAUCUGCUCGUUGGUGGGGAGGGAAUCACCUUAUUUGCUUGUCUUGUCUAUUUAUUUUUAACGUGGUUUUGGGGGAUUUUAUGUUUGUUCAGUAGAAGCAGCACGCUUCUGUCAGCAGCAGUGGCGUAUGGGCUCCGUGCAACAGCAUAUUUACUUAUGUCAAGUAGCAGUAUGCGUAGAGCAGAUCUAGUCCACCAAGACCAAACCAUAUCAUAUACACACACACACAUAUUAGAAUAAAAAAAAAGUUAUACUACUCCGAGAGUUGUCCUAACUGAACUGAGAUCAAAUUUUUUCCCCCAUUCUGAUGUGAACAUUAACUGAAGCUCCAGAACUGUAUCUGCAUGAUUUUAUGCACUGCUGCCACACGAUUGGCGAGUAGAUAUUGCAUGAGAAAGUAGGUGUACAGGUGUACCUAAUAAAGUGGUCUCUGAAUGUAAAUCAGAAUGCCAUGGCAUGCAGUAAUAAUCAUAAUGUAUUUAAAUAUUGUUGUUGCUGAUGUCAGAAUACUAAAAAUGUUCUAAAAAUGUCCCCCCCCCCAAACAGCUCCCGGUGGUGUUCUUCCGGGGCCAGAUGUCAGGUGGACAGGUUUCAAAAAUGACAUAUGAAAGGAAGCAGAGAUGUGAUAGUUAGCAGGUAGCUCCAGUUGGUAAGUUCAGAAUUGUAAGACAAAUCAAUCCUGUAACGGACCAACAUACCUGGAGCUGAGUUUCCUGCAGGGUAGUCGCAACUUGAGAGUCUGGCUAUCUACAUGAGACCUCUGGCCAGGUUGAUAGUCGGGGUGGGGAUGCCUCCGAUCAGCUUGGAUCCGUUGGGCCCAGAUGGCCCGCUGCAAUCUGACGUGCGCACUGUCCCACACUUGCUCGCUCUGCCUGAUACAAUCAUCCACUGCUGGCACUGUAGAGGGUUCACCCAACCAAGGGAACAUAGGAGGUUGGUAGCCCAGCACACAUUGGAAGGGAGUGAGUCCAGUAGAUGAGUGCGUGAGGGAGUUCUGGGUGUAUUCAGCCCAUGGGAGGAAGUCGCUCCACCUCUGUUGUUCUUGACUGCAGUAAGACCUGCGGUAUCUGCGGAUUUCCUGGUUUAUUCUCUCCACCUGUCCAUUUGCCGGAGGAUGAUAACCAGACAUGAGGCUGACGUUGAUUUCCAGCUGUUUACAGAAAGCCUGCCAAACUCUGGAAGUUAACUGUGGUCCCUGGUCAGACACUGUCUUCUGGCAGACCAUAGAUUCUGAAAACUUGGUGGAAUAGAACGUUAGCGGUUUCCAUGGCAGUGGGUAGACCUUUCAUGGGGAUUAGUCUGCAUGACUUAGAGAAACGAUCAAUGUUAACAAAGAUGGUGGUAUACCCAUUGGAGUUUGGCAGAUUGGUGAUGAAGUCGAUGGACAGAUGGGACCAGGGUCUCUGAGGGAUAGGCAGUGGCUGUUGCAGGCCGGCUGGCAGUUCUCUGGGGGUUUUAGACUUUGCACAAACUUUACAUGCUUUAAUGUAUGCAGUGACAUCAUUAAUGAUUGAAGGCCACCAAAAUGAGUUAUGUACCAGGCCUAUCGUUUUCUGGAUGCCAAGGUGUCCAGUGCUGAGGGAGGUAUGGAUCCAUUGGAUUGUUCUUUGGCGUAGAGUGCGUGGUACAUACUGUUUUGUUGGAGGGCAUUCAGGUGGUGGCAGGGUCUGUUUGUUGGGCUCUUUGGAUUUAUUUCAUGAUGUCCCAGCUUAUGGGUGCGAUGACAGAAGUUGGUAGUAUAGAUUUGUUUUGAGGUAUGUUGUGAAGGGGAUCAUGACAAUGGGAGAGAGAGCAUCAGCUUUGCAGUUCUUACUGCCAGGGCGGUAGGUGACUAUGAAUUGGAACCUUGUGAAGAGUGACCGUCGGGCUUGUUGUGGAUUCAGACGUUUUGCUCCCUUGAUGUAUUCGAGGUUCUUAUGGUCGGUGAUUACUUGGAAUGGAUGGACAGAACCUUCAAGCCAGUGGUGCCACUCUUCUAGCGCAGCCUUCAUGGAGAGUAGUUCUUUCCAACAUCAUAGUUCCUUUCAGCAGUGUUCAGUUUACAGGAAAAGCAAGCACAAGGAUAUAGUUUUCCAGGGUUACCGUGGCGUUGAGGGAGAACCGGCCCUAUGCUGCAGUCUGAGGCAUCCACUUCAACAAUGAACGGUUGGUUAGGAUCUGGGUGCUUGAGAAUGGGGGUGGUCGUGAAACUUGUCUUGAGGGUGUCGAAGUCUUUUUGAGCAGUCACUCCAUGGUAGCUUGGAUGGUUUUCCUUUGAGCAAAGACGUUAUGGGGGCAGAGAUGAGACUGUAGUUGCAGAUAAACCUCCUGUAGAAGUUUGCAAAACCCAGGAAAUGUUGUAGCUCCUUAACGGUGUUGGGUUUUGGCCACUCCGUGACUGCCUUGAUCUUGGCAUCAUCCAUCUCAACACCUCUAUGGCUGAUGAUAUACCCUAAGAACAUUGUAUGGGUAACAUGGAACUCACAUUUCUCUGCUUUCACGUAGAGUUGGUGUUUCAGCAGGUGGGAGAGGACCAUUUUAACGUCUUUGUGUUGUGCUUUAUCUUGGGAGUAUGAUUAUGUCGUCAAUGUAGGCGAUGACACAUCUGUUGAGGAGGUCUCUGAAGAUCUCAUUGAUGAAUGACUGGAACAUAGCUGGUGCGUUGGCCAGGCCAUAAGGCAUCACCUGGUAUUCAUAGUGCCCCCUAGUGGUGAUAAAUGCGGUUUUCCACUCAUCUCCCUCUCUGAAACGAAUCAGGUUGUAUGCACUUCUCAAAUCCAGUUUUGUGUAGAUGCGUGCUUCACAUUGUUGUUCUAGGGCAGACGGAACAAGAGGGAGUGGGUACCUGUACUUGAUUGUUAUGGUGUUCAAUCCUCGGUAGUCAAUGCAUGGACGGAGCCCUCCAUCUUCUCAAUGAAGAAGACUGCUGCAGCUGGUGAAGUGGAAGGACGAAUGAACCCUGAAGCUAAAGCCUCAGACGCAAGUCUCCAUGGCCAUGGUUUCAGGCCUUGACAAUGGAUAGGCUUUGCUCCUUGGGGGUGCCAUAUUGAAGUAAUUCAACAGCGCAGUCCCAAGAGAUGAGGGGGUUGUUGGGUUGCCUUGACUUUGCUGAAUACCUCAGCGAAUUCAGAAUAUUCCCUGGGGACCUGGAUUUGAGCUUGUUCUCAGAACUUUCGACGCUGGUAGUCAAACAUGGCAUGGUGACUGUGACAUGAAGACAAUUAAACUUACAAUAAUCUGACCAUUGUUUUAACUCCACCUGGUCCCAGAAGAUGAUGGGAUCAUGGAUAGCCAGCCAUGGAUGACCCAGGAUGAGAGGAUACUUGGGUGAGUUGAUGAAAGAGAUGUGAUCUCUGUAUGAAACAAUCCAAUCUGUGGUGUCAAUGGAACUGUUCGGUGAGUGAUGCCUGUGCCUAUAGGUGCAUUAUUCACAGCAGCAAUGUUAAUGGUGGGUAUACAAGGUACUGAAGGGAUAUGGAGUUCUCGUACUAGACCUUGGUGAAUUAAAUUCAUGACAGCCCCCGAGUCAAGUGCAGAAACUCAUUUUAGAUUAUCAAAGGAGAGCUCAACGGGAAGAGUGAAACUGUGGUGUGUGGAGGAUGAAAUUCAUGGUACUCACAUUAGUUCAGGAGUCUUGAUAUUUCUUGCCUUUGUGAGGGCAUGUGAAAUUUCAAUGAUUCCUUUCACCACAGUAAUAACAGUUGCUCCUUAUGAUGAUCGCAUUCUUCAUCAGAAACUCUGGUAUAGGCGAACUGCAUCGGUUCAGCAGCUUCAGGGCAUGCCUGGACUUGACAUUUGACUGAUGGUUAUGACGGAGCAAAUCAUUGAGCGUGGUGAAUUACGCAGUAAAUUAUCAAUCCUUACUGCCAAUGAAAUGGAUUCAGUAAGUGUUGCAUCCUCACCCUUACAUGCAAGUUCGGCCUGCAGAUUGUAGUUCAGUCCCUCUCUGAACACAGUCUUGAGUGCAAUCUCAUUCCAUCCACUUUGGGCUGCUACUGUCCUGAAGUGUAUGGCAAAGUCAGCUGCAGAACGUGAACCCUGGUGUACAUGAAGCAGCUGAACAGAGACAUUUGUUCCUCCCUCUGGGUAUUCAAACACUUCAUGGAUCUGGGAAGCGAAGUAAUUGAAAGACGUUUGAAUCUGAUUAUCGCUCUCCCAAACAGCUGAGGCCCAGUCUAACGCCUUUCCGGUAAGUAAUGUCAUCAUAAAUGCACAUUCCUUGGACUCCUGACUGAAUGACUCUUGUUGGUUGGAGAAAUAUAUUUUACAUUGACGUAAAAACCCAUUACAUUUCUAUGGUGAGCCAUCAGAUUUAUCAGGAAGAGCGAAUCUUACCGGUGUAGCUUGUGGUGAAGGAAAAGAACAGAUAUAGUGGGUGAGGUUCUCAUUUGCAGCUCUUAGGUAGUUAAGUUUUUCUUGGUAACCUUUGAGAAGUUCGCUCUGGGAAGUGAAUACAGCCUGGAGCUGAGAAACUUCCGCUGGAUUCAUUGUUGUCGAAGUAUUCUGUAAGGGACUCCACAUAGAGGCGAAGGUAGAAUCCAUAUGCAAGAAGUUUAUUAUAAUCAGCAAACAAAUCCAAGACACAAGGCAGAGACGUAAUGGUUGAAGCAGGCAAUGUUGUCGUUACACAGGUAAAUCAAGCCAAUCGCUGAGACAACAGCAUCACCUUGUGUAAGAAACAGCAUGUAUAAUAUGGAUGUGUAAACUCGUAUGGAAUACUGAUAAUUUACCAUUGUUGCACAGACAAUCAACAUGAUAAAAGCAACAAUAUUACAUAUCUCAGGUCUCUAAUGACCCUAUACACUUUUGGUACUAAACAAAACAUUUGUGUGUGUGUGUGUGUGUGUGUGUGUGUGUGUGUGUGUGUGUGUGUGUGUGUGUGUGUGUGUGUGUGUGUGUGUUAAACAAUUCUUAGGAGAAAGGGAAAGGUUGAAGAAUACUAAAAAGAGGUGUGGGCACAACUCCAAAGGAUGAGGCGCCACACACACACACAGGGCCAGGUUCGUGUGUCGCUCUCCCCUCAGGUGGUUCGGACUGCCCUUUUAUCCAUCCCAUCUUUCACUGCAAACACAAACAGCUGUUAGAGAUCAUUUCCCACUGGUGUCUAUCCUUACCGUUCUUCCUCUCUCGGCCUCGCUCUCCACAAACGUCGCCCGGCCACGCCCACAUCACCACGCUCAUAUUGAAUAUUGCUCAUAUCCCAUAUAAUAAAUAUCUUACUGUUCUAUGUUCCAAGCUUGUAGCUUUUAUUUUAUUGCCAACAGCUUAAACUGCCAUUGUUAAGUCUUCUUAAAACAUAAGUUUCAAGUAAAGAUAGUCUGAAAAGGUUCUUUCUUGCAUAAUAUGACAUAGCUCCUGAGAAAAAGACAAUACAAGAGUCAAAUGUUUCGUUCAUAUAUUUUAGAUGCAUGUGACACGUC
This is a long non-coding RNA of Myxocyprinus asiaticus (Chinese sucker), 6157 nucleotides long. RefSeq lists it as uncharacterized. The transcript is spliced from 3 exons. Lineage: Eukaryota; Metazoa; Chordata; Actinopteri; Cypriniformes; Catostomidae. The record is from RefSeq and is a predicted model, not a curated record.